AUUGAACGCUGGCGGCAUGCCUUACACAUGCAAGUCGAACGGCAGCACGGGAGCAAUCCUGGUGGCGAGUGGCGAACGGGUGAGUAAAGUAUCGGAACGUGCCCAGUCGUGGGGGAUAACGUAGCGAAAGUUACGCUAAUACCGCAUACGAUCUAUGGAAGAAAGCGGGGGAUCGCAAGACCUCGCGCGAUUGGAGCGGCCGAUAUCAGAUUAGGUAGUUGGUGGGGUAAAGGCUCACCAAGCCGACGAUCUGUAGCUGGUCUGAGAGGACGACCAGCCACACUGGGACUGAGACACGGCCCAGACUCCUACGGGAGGCAGCAGUGGGGAAUUUUGGACAAUGGGCGAAAGGCUGAUCCAGCCAUGCCGCGUGCAGGAUGAAGGCCUUCGGGUUGUAAACUGCUUUUGUACGGAACGAAAAGGUUUGGCCUAAUAAGCUGAGCUCAUGACGGUACCGUAAGAAUAAGCACCGGCUAACUACGUGCCAGCCGCCGCAGUAA
RNAcentral lists this ribosomal RNA (500 nucleotides) under uncultured bacterium. RNAcentral describes it as "partial 16S ribosomal RNA". It matches the Rfam family "Bacterial small subunit ribosomal RNA", at positions 30 to 523 of the family's 1533-position model. The record is from RNAcentral.